AGUUUGAUCCUGGCUCAGAGCGAACGCUGGCGGCAGGCCUAAUACAUGCAAGUCGAGCGGUCCCUUCGGGGGCAGCGGCGGACGGGUGAGUAACGCGUGGGAACGUGCCCUUUGGUACGGAACAACUGAGGGAAACUUCAGCUAAUACCGUAUGUGCCCUUCGGGGGAAAGAUUUAUCGCCAUUGGAGCGGCCCGCGUUAGAUUAGCUAGUUGGUAGGGUAAUGGCCUACCAAGGCGACGAUCUAUAGCUGGUCUGAGAGGAUGAUCAGCCACACUGGGACUGAGACACGGCCCAGACUCCUACGGGAGGCAGCAGUGGGGAAUCUUGCGCAAUGGGCGAAAGCCUGACGCAGCCAUGCCGCGUGAAUGAUGAAGGUCUUAGGAUUGUAAAAUUCUUUCACCGGGGACGAUAAUGACGGUACCCGGAGAAGAAGCCCCGGCUAACUUCGUGCCAGCAGCCGCGGUAAUACGAAGGGGGCUAGCGUUGCUCGGAAUUACUGGGCGUAAAGGGCGCGUAGGCGGACAGUUAAGUCAGAGGUGAAAGCCCAGGGCUCAACCUUGGAAUUGCCUUUGAUACUGGCUGUCUUGAGUACGGGAGAGGUGAGUGGAACUCCGAGUGUAGAGGUGAAAUUCGUAGAUAUUCGGAAGAACACCAGUGGCGAAGGCGACUCACUGGCCCGUUACUGACGCUGAGGCGCGAAAGCGUGGGGAGCAAACAGGNNNNNNUACCCUGGUAGUCC
RNAcentral lists this ribosomal RNA (740 nucleotides) under uncultured bacterium. RNAcentral describes it as "bacterial SSU rRNA". It matches the Rfam family "Bacterial small subunit ribosomal RNA", at positions 10 to 796 of the family's 1533-position model. The record is from RNAcentral.